Molecule: long non-coding RNA, 662 nt
Organism: Mytilus californianus (California mussel)
Lineage: Eukaryota; Metazoa; Mollusca; Bivalvia; Mytilida; Mytilidae
Exons: 3
Source: RefSeq, a predicted model, not a curated record
UAAAGCAACAUUAAUAUCCCCCAUUUUACUUGAUGUUGCUGAUUUUGUUUAGGGCUAUAUUUUUAUAAUUUUAUAUUUUUAGAGCAAAGACUUAUCACGUGUUUCAGACAUGUUGAUGGAGUCUUUGCUUAAGGACUUAGAAGAUGAAGACCAACAAUUGGGUCAAAUUCAAGAAACAUCAACCUUGAGUGUCAUAGGUGAGGCUGUCUCCAUGUCAGUGGAUGUGGAUGUGAAUGAUGAUACCGAUGAUACAGAUGAUGUUACACCUGUACCUCUACCAUGUUCAUCCACUCCUGUCCACUCGAGAUCAGAGCCACCAGAAGUUCUGAAACCCCUCCCAAGGUAUCCCUUGAACAGUGAACAUCAAGGCUGCAGUAAAUGUGACCGUUUGGCGGUUACUGUUGAGAAUCUGCAAAAACAGAUUCUUGACCAGAACAACAACAUGUACCAGCUACAUUUACGGCUUUACCAGAUGGAACAAUAUCAAUAUAAUUCCCAGAGCCAUAACACCCAGAAUCAAAAUGGUCAAAGCUACAUCUCGCAGACCAAUAAUCAGGCCAAUGAAACGCAGAGAAUGUUAGUGACUCCAAAGUCACCAUCUCAACUUGGUUCGACAGAGAGAUGUGAGCCUGGUGUCCCAACUCAAGUUCUUUAUUAGAGAU